AGGGGCCGGGAGACACCGUGGGGGACCUCCCACAGGCUCCGUAGCCCCCCUUGGCCAGAGUCCAGGGCACACAGCUGUCCCCAAGCCCCCCUGUCCAGCACGGUGAUGGUCCCAGCCCUCCCUCUGCCUGUUACUGUCUUGGGGGAAAGAAGAACUUGGGGUCUAAAAAGCCACAGCCCUGUCUUUUUCCUCUCUUUAGCGCGCCAUCAUCUCUCAGUGUGCACAGGACCCCCUGCAGACACCCAAAAUCUGCAGGUGUCAAGUCCCAUGUGUUACAUGGCAUAGGAUCUGCAUAGAGCCUAUACAAUCCUCCGUAUUCUUUUUUAAAUUUUUUUAAAAUUUGUUUGAAAAGACAGUUACAGAGAGAGAAGGAGAGACAUAGCUAGAAAGAUCCUCUAUUAGAUAGACUGAGAGACCAGAGAGAUCUUCUCUCUCUGCUGGUUCACUCCCCAAAUGACCCAACAACCAGGGCUAGGCUAGGCUGAAGCCAGGAGCCUGGAACUCCAUACGAGUCUCCCAUGUGAGUCUCCCACAUACUUGGGUCAUCAACUGCUACCUUCCCAGGGAGCUGGAUUGAAAAUAGAGCAGCUGGGACUCGAACCAGUACCCAUGUGGGAUGCGGGUGCUGCAGGCUGUGGCUUCGUGGCUUAAUUCACUGUGCCACAGCGCCAGCUCCUCUCCCAUAUACUUUAAACCACCUCCAGACCCUUAGAAUACCUAAUACAAUGUAUACGUUGUAUUAGGUAUACAUUAUACAAUGUAUUAGGUAUGCAUUAUACAAUGUAUUAGGUAUGCAUUAUACAUUGUAUUAGGUAUGCAUUGUACAAUGUAUUAGGUAUACAUUAUACAAUGUAUUAGGUAUGCAUUGUACAAUGUAUUAGGUAUACAUUAUACAAUGUAUUAGGUAUGCAUUGUACAAUGUAUUAGGUAUGCAUUAUACAAUGUAUUAGGUAUGCAUUGUACAAUGUAUUAGGUAUGCAUUGUACAAUGUAUUAGGUAUGCAUUAUACAAUGUAUUAGGUAUACAUUAUACAAUGUAUUAGGUAUGCAUUGUACAAUGUAUUAGGUAUACAUUAUACAAUGUAUUAGGUAUGCAUUGUACAAUGUAUUAGGUAUGCAUUAUACAAUGUAUUAGGUAUGCAUUGUACAAUGUAUUAGGUAUGCAUUGUACAAUGUAUUAGGUAUGCAUUAUACAAUGUAUUAGGUAUGCAUUAUACAAUGUAUUAGGUAUGCAUUGUACAAUGUAUUAGGUAUGCAUUAUACAAUGUAUUAGGUAUGCAUUAUACAAUGUAUUAGGUAUACAUUAUACAAUGUAUUAGGUAUGCGUUAUACAAUGUAUUAGGUAUGCAUUGUACAAUGUAUUAGGUAUACGUUAUACAAUGUAUUAGGUAUGCAUUGUACAAUGUAUUAGGUAUACGUUAUACAAUGUAUUAGGUAUGCAUUAUACAAUGUAUUAGGUAUGCAUUGUACAAUGUAUUAGGUAUGCAUUGUACAAUGUAUUAGGUAUACGUUAUACAAUGUAUUAGGUAUACAUUAUACAAUGUAUUAGGUAUACAUUAUACAAUGUAUUAGGUAUGCAUUAUACAAUGUAUUAGGUAUACAUUAUACAAUGUAUUAGGUAUGCAUUAUACAAUGUAUUAGGUAUGCAUUGUACAAUGUAUUAGGUAUACGUUAUACAAUGUAUUAGGUAUGCAUUGUACAAUGUAUUAGGUAUGCAUUGUACAAUGUAUUAGGUAUGCAUUAUACAAUGUAUUAGGUAUGCAUUGUACAAUGUAUUAGGUAUACGUUAUACAAUGUAUUAGGUAUGCAUUAUACAAUGUAUUAGGUAUGCAUUGUACAAUGUAUUAGGUAUGCAUUGUACAAUGUAUUAGGUAUGCAUUAUACAAUGUAUUAGGUAUGCAUUGUACAAUGUAUUAGGUAUGCAUUGUACAAUGUAUUAGGUAUGCAUUAUACAAUGUAUUAGGUAUGCAUUGUACAAUGUACAGUGCUGUCAGAGUAGCUGUCAAUAACGACAAUGCACAUGUUCAGCGCAGACACAAUAUGGUUUUUUUUUUUUCUAUUUUCAAUCCCGGGUUGCAUGAUGUGGAGGCCAGCUGCCUUUGGCUGUCUUUGCAUGAAUGAGCCAUGUACAGGACUCUUUACCCAGGACUACCUGGGGCUUAUGGAGGAGGGGAAGGAGGCAUUGCAGUCUCUGGGUCACUGCCAGGAUCCAGGCUGGACAAUGAGCACAUCCCACACCCGCUGUGCAUGGAGAGACCCAAGUAGGAGGCUUGGAGGCCCUGUGUCCCUCGGCUCUUCCCAGGGCACCCUUUUCCCAGGGCUGGUGCCGUUUCGUUCCAUUGUCAGGAACAAUGGUGUUCCCACCAGUGCACCCCCACCUCUCCAUGUGCCAGCACUGCGGGACUAGGGCGUUUCCUAAUAUUCCAGCUAACAUUUCCCCCUGCCCGGAGAUGACGGUUGCCUUUGAGAAAGCAACAGUUCCCGUCCUCCCGGCUUCGGCACACAGCACAGGGCGGCGCUGGGGGUUGGGUGGGAAGUGGGCAGCUGCUUCUGGGGCUGCAAGAUGCGGCUGCCUGGGCUCCCGUGGAAGCCAUGAAGAUGGCAAGAUGGCGUGUUAUUGGCUUCGAUUUGAAAGCACAUUAAAAUGUUCUUGGAUU
Molecule: non-coding RNA, 2656 nt
Organism: Oryctolagus cuniculus (rabbit)
Lineage: Eukaryota; Metazoa; Chordata; Mammalia; Lagomorpha; Leporidae
Source: RefSeq, a predicted model, not a curated record